Molecule: ribosomal RNA, 589 nt
Filed under: Escherichia coli
Lineage: Bacteria; Pseudomonadati; Pseudomonadota; Gammaproteobacteria; Enterobacterales; Enterobacteriaceae
Description: partial 23S ribosomal RNA
Rfam family: Bacterial large subunit ribosomal RNA
Source: RNAcentral
AAUGGGUCAGCGACUUAUAUUCUGUAGCAAGGUUAACCGAAUAGGGGAGCCGAAGGGAAACCGAGUCUUAACUGGGCGUUAAGUUGCAGGGUAUAGACCCGAAACCCGGUGAUCUAGCCAUGGGCAGGUUGAAGGUUGGGUAACACUAACUGGAGGACCGAACCGACUAAUGUUGAAAAAUUAGCGGAUGACUUGUGGCUGGGGGUGAAAGGCCAAUCAAACCGGGAGAUAGCUGGUUCUCCCCGAAAGCUAUUUAGGUAGCGCCUCGUGAAUUCAUCUCCGGGGGUAGAGCACUGUUUCGGCAAGGGGGUCAUCCCGACUUACCAACCCGAUGCAAACUGCGAAUACCGGAGAAUGUUAUCACGGGAGACACACGGCGGGUGCUAACGUCCGUCGUGAAGAGGGAAACAACCCAGACCGCCAGCUAAGGUCCCAAAGUCAUGGUUAAGUGGGAAACGAUGUGGGAAGGCCCAGACAGCCAGGAUGUUGGCUUAGAAGCAGCCAUCAUUUAAAGAAAGCGUAAUAGCUCACUGGUCGAGUCGGCCUGCGCGGAAGAUGUAACGGGGCUAAACCAUGCACCGAAGCUGCG